ACAGAGAAAUCACCAUGGAGACCCAAGGACAGAAAGAACAGGAUCUCUGCUUGCUCAUAAGGGAUCUCAUACUCAAGGUUGUAUUUUGGGGAGCAAUAGGGGUUCUAAAUUCACAUGUAGAGUUCUUAACACUCCAAAAGCUGCCUAACAGGCAGGUGAGAACAAUUCCCAUGACAAUUACCUGAUAAUCAGAGACGUGAGAGAAUAAUCUGUGUGUGUACAUGUGUGCAGUAUGCAGUGUUUUGGAGCCCCUAUACUCGACCUUUUGUACUCACAUUUGUUAGGCGAUUGUCAUUGUUAUGACAGUAACCCAUUUGUGACAGCAGUGUGAAAUCCCACAGUGGAAAGAGUGUAUUUAUAUGAGGUGUGAUAGGAUCGCUAAAUAAACCAUCUUCCUCUUUGAAAAUGUAUCCUCGGGACAGAUAAUUACCAUUACACAGCCCUGGAUGGCAUCUUAAUUAGUGUAUUGGGGAGCGAUCUCUGAUAGAGCAUAGGGGUUAGGCAAUAUUUUGUACUAGCUGACAGUACCAGUCAAGGGAUACCACAUUACUAUUUUGUUCUGGACCCUUAUGAAGUCUGAAUUCUGUUGGGUAGGGCAUGCAUGUGCUGCUUGGAAAUAUGUGGAAUUAAAAAAUGGAUAGGCAAAAAUCAACAAUCUAGUCAUAGUCAUUUCUUGAAAUCCAAUAAUUGAUUUCAUCCAGCAUUGAUUUCAUGUUUAGUUAUACAAGCUCUCAUGUUGCAAUUUAAAGCUUGCCUUAGAGGAUUCAGGAUUCCUAAAAUUUGACCUGGAUGUGACAAGCACACCCCAGUCCACUGCUUUAAGAUUCUUUAAAUAAACUGUGACUUUAAUAUCCCAUCAUCCUAAAACUCAUUUGGAUCUGGCAUGGUGGACUUGUUAUGGUCCCUGUAGCUUUUCGGCCUAGGAGUCAGGUUGGCUGUCUGUAUGCGUCAGCCUGCUCUGCCAACAGCCAUCAACAACAUAUACAGACAGAUACAAGUCAGUCGAUAACCACAACUAAUUUCUACAUGUAUAGGGCAAUGAGUUCAUACAGGAAUAAGAGCCAGCAUUUGUUAACCUUUUGGGUACCAGAGGAUGUUACUUUGCACAGAGCAGAAUAGCUGAAUUUAAAAAAUGCUAAGCUGGAGAAUCAUCUUCAAUUUAGCAUUUUGACUCUACCUAACCAAAACCAAACCUCACAACUCAGUCUCUAUUUUAGCACGACAGUCCUUAUUUUAGGGUCUCUAUUUGGUCCAUGGUGUCCCUCAUCCGGGGACACCAGGAAACUGUGUCCCAGCACUGCCAGCAGCACUCUGUGAGCGCAUCAUUAGAUACAUACAGCACUUUUAUAUUUACCGCCUACACAGCAGUAAUCGUAGAGUAUGUUUUGGUAGGGUGACUCAACAGGGCCGGUGCAAGGAUUUUGGGGUACUUAGGCGAAGAUGCAUUUUUCCGUCACCCACCUAGAGCAGGUGCAUCCAUAAGGCAUAAGGUAUAGGGCCAAACAGGACAAGGGCCCUGGUUCUUUUUGUAAUGGCACAAAAUGAGCUAAAACCAGCUUGAAAUCUGAGCAGGGACCCACCGAAGGGCAGGCUAUUUGAGCUGUUUGUCCAUUCUCAGUACUCUCUUGCCCCUUGUUUUUUUCUCUCCUUAAGUUUAGAGGGUAAUCCAGAUGUAGACACCUUGCUCACGGUGCCUAGAAGGGUAUCGGCUAUACCUUACUGACGAUACCUAACAAGGUAGAAAUGAUUGUGUGGGGUUGCUGUAUCUCUCGUACAGAGAGAGGCAUCCUGCAUUUUGUAUCGGUUUCACCCUUCUGGUGGGAUCAUUCGAUAUGCAAAUGGUCUGGUUAUUUUUGUAAUGGCACAAGAUGAGCUAAAACCAGCUUGAGAUCUGAGUGGGGACCCACCAAAAGGC
This 1915-nucleotide long non-coding RNA is filed under the name Pelobates cultripes (western spadefoot toad). The record is from RNAcentral. Lineage: Eukaryota; Metazoa; Chordata; Amphibia; Anura; Pelobatidae.